Molecule: ribosomal RNA, 452 nt
Filed under: uncultured bacterium
Lineage: Bacteria
Description: bacterial SSU rRNA
Rfam family: Bacterial small subunit ribosomal RNA
Source: RNAcentral
AGCGAACGCUGGCGGCAGGCUUAACACAUGCAAGUCGAACGGGCGUAGCAAUACGUCAGUGGCAGACGGGUGAGUAACGCGUGGGAACGUACCUUUUGGUUCGGAACAACCCAGGGAAACUUGGGCUAAUACCGGAUAAGCCCUUACGGGGAAAGAUUUAUCGCCGAAAGAUCGGCCCGCGUCUGAUUAGCUAGUUGGUGAGGUAACGGCUCACCAAGGCGACGAUCAGUAGCUGGUCUGAGAGGANGAUCAGCCACAUUGGGACUGAGACACGGCCCAAACUCCUACGGGAGGCAGCAGUGGGGAAUAUUGGACAAUGGGCGCAAGCCUGAUCCAGCCAUGCCGCGUGAGUGAUGAAGGCCCUAGGGUUGUAAAGCUCUUUUGUGCGGGAAGAUAAUGACGGUACCGCAAGAAUAAGCCCCGGCUAACUUCGUGCCAGCCGCCGCGGUAAG